GGAGGUUGGAGGUGUUUGGUUUUGGUUUUGAGUCAAGGUUUCUCUGUGUUGUCCAGGCUGGUCCCAAACUCCUGGGCUCAAGUCAUUCUUUUGGCCCAGCCUCCUGAGCACUAAGCAGGCUGGAGGUCUCAUCACUGCUUAUUACACUUGUUUGGUGCUAUCCUGCCCCCAACUCCCUGGUCUUUGUGAGUUUGAACUUUUUUUUUUUUCAGAGUUUCUGCAGAAUUAACCUCCUAUCUUGCAUUUAAGCUGAGAGAGCUGUCUGCUGUCUCCAAUUCCUGCUGCUUUUCAGGUUCUCUGCCCCACAUGUCCCCGCAUUGGUUCACCAAAUUCAUCCUCCUAUGCCUGGAUUUUAGCAGCUUUGUUGUUGUUGCUCAUUACUUUGAUACUGUGACUCUGCUUGGGUCCAAUAUGCUUUUCAGUUAACUCCAUACAACCUACUCCUACCCUGAUGCCUUUUUUGAAGGCUGAUCACCCCAUCCAGAAGGUCAUCUCUUGACUCAUCUCUAUUUUUCCUGCCUUAAAUGUCUGCCAAAACUUUUUCCCUUCCCAGAAGCCUUUCUGACUAGAUCCCUCCACUCUUCUAAUUUUAGUCAGAGGGCCCUUAACACAGUUCAGUGAACACACUGCACUUCUGCUUUUCUAUCUUUGUACACAUUUUUCUUCCCCCUGUUCAAUGCCCUUUCUGUCCAACUCCCAUUCUGUGUGAUGUGGCUCAGACAUCACCUCCUCCAAGAAGCCUUCCCUGACCCUGCUGGUCUGGGCUGUGCUCCCUGAUACCUCCCUUAACAUCCUGGACUCUUCACUAUUACAGUACUUACUGCAGUCUGUAAUGGUAUGUGUGAUUAUAUUAAUUCAAAUAGAAACCCAUUAUAGAAUCAGAACUAUCUGUACCUAUUUUAUUUAAUCUCACAUCCAUUGGGUGUAUAUAGCACAGUGCCUCAAAUAUAGUAGUUAUGAAGCAAAUGCUUCUUUCAUUUAAUUGCUGUAACAAAAAUAGAAAAGGACAGGAAAUAAAGUUAACUUACCUAGGAGGAAUCCCUAAAGU
This 1048-nucleotide long non-coding RNA is filed under the name Marmota monax (woodchuck). Lineage: Eukaryota; Metazoa; Chordata; Mammalia; Rodentia; Sciuridae. The record is from RNAcentral.